RNAcentral lists this unclassified non-coding RNA (311 nucleotides) under Melitaea cinxia (Glanville fritillary). RNAcentral describes it as "misc RNA ENSMCXG00005009089.1". Lineage: Eukaryota; Metazoa; Arthropoda; Insecta; Lepidoptera; Nymphalidae. The record is from RNAcentral.
UUCAAAACAGUGUUUACGUUUUAAUGUUUCCCAUUAAUGCAUUACCUAAACAACUAAGGAAGCUUAUAAAGAGUAUUGAGUUAAUACGACUUAUUAACUGGAAUAUUAGAAUACGCUGUGAAAGUCUGAGCUAUAAAUAAUGUGGCGACUAGACCUUCCACCUUAUAUUACUUUGAAUACAUUUUCCUCUUAUUAUGUUUUUGGAUAUAAAUUAAAAGUGAUUUAUUCGGCUCCUAUGGUCCGUUGGCUACUUUUUAUCAUUUGAAAGGGCUACAGUAUAUCAUGUGGAUGUAGCCUUAAUUGUCUCGGAC